Molecule: ribosomal RNA, 252 nt
Filed under: uncultured bacterium
Lineage: Bacteria
Description: partial 16S ribosomal RNA
Rfam family: Bacterial small subunit ribosomal RNA
Source: RNAcentral
UACGUAGGCAGCAAGCGUUGUUCGGAAUUACUGGGCGUAAAGAGUGUGUAGGCGGUGCUCCAAGUCUGGUGUGAAAUCUCCCGGCUUAACUGGGAGGGUGCAUUAGAAACUGGAAUGCUAGAGGAUGGGAGAGGUAAGCGGAAUUCCUGGUGUAGCGGUGAAAUGCGUAGAUAUCAGGAGGAACACCUGUGGUGUAGACAGCUUACUGGACCAUUUCUGACGCUGAGACACGAAAGCGUGGGUAGCAAACAG